AGCAUAUCAAUAAGCGGAGGAAAAGAAACCAACAGGGAUUGCCUCAGUAACGGCGAGUGAAGCGGCAACAGCUCAAAUUUGAAAUCUGGCCUUAUAGGUCCGAGUUGUAAUUUGUAGAGGAUGUUUUGGGUACCGUUGCAGUUUAAAUUUCUUGGAACAGAAUGUCAGAGAGGGUGAGAGUCCCGUCUGGAACUGCGGUAGGGCCUAUGUAAAACUCCUUCGACGAGUCGAGUUGUUUGGGAAUGCAGCUCAAAAUGGGUGGUAAAUUUCAUCUAAAGCUAAAUAUUGGCCAGAGACCGAUAGCGCACAAGUAGAGUGAUCGAAAGAUGAAAAGCACUUUGAAAAGAGAGUUAAACAGUAUGUGAAAUUGUUGAAAGGGAAGCGCUUGCAACCAGACUUGAGUAUAGCGGUUCCCCCUUGCUUUUGCUUGGGCUACUCCGUUGUAUCCAGGCCAACAUCGGUUCUAGGAGUUGGUUAAAGACCUUAGGAAUGUAUCUACCCUCGGGUAGACUUAUAGCCUAGGGUGUCAUGCAACUUCCCGGGACCGAGGUACGCGCUUCGGCGAGGAUGU
This 571-nucleotide ribosomal RNA is filed under the name uncultured fungus. Its description in RNAcentral is "eukaryotic LSU rRNA". It matches the Rfam family "Eukaryotic large subunit ribosomal RNA", at positions 37 to 626 of the family's 3401-position model. The record is from RNAcentral. Lineage: Eukaryota; Fungi.